CUAGAUCUAAAAGCAAAUUACAAAACUAUUGAGUUUUUUCAAGUAACUAUUUCAUUUUUACAAAUGAAAUGGUGACUAAAAAACCCACGUGUAAAUUUUUCAUUAAUAUCAGCAAUUUUCUAGAAAUUUAAUGAAUUAUUGAAAAUACAGUAUUUGUACCAGAUUUUAUUUAAAGCUUCCUUUCAUUAUUUUUUUAGGAGAGAGUUAGAGCAAUUAAAUUACCAAUUAAGACUAUUUUCAUUUAGCAUUUUUUCAAACCUUUCCAAAUUCAACAUUCAGCCCUUCAUAGAGUUACGCAGUAAAAUGCUAGUGAUUUGUUCAAUAAACUAGUAAUAACUGGAAUAUAAGCAAGUAUUUCUAGGGUGAUUCCUUCAAUAGAAAUGUAAAUUAGCUGAUCUUCAUAAUCUAGACUUAGUUUAUAUGUUUCACCCAAACUGUACCUACAGCACUUCAAACAUACAAUAUUCCAUUCACCUCAAGCAUACAAAAUUCUGUUUAUUCUUUGGUAUUUGCAUAUACCACUUGAAAUGGUAUAUAUACCAUUAAUAUAUAUACUUACUACACUUCCCUUCCUUUUUUUGCCUAGCUCUUUCUUUAAGAAAGUCAACUCGUUAGAAGAGAUUUCCCUGGAAACCCUCAUCUGCCUUUUCUAAUAAACUAUAGGCUCCUUAAGAGUCAAGACUGUUUUUUACUCUUUAUUCCCAGUACUCAGCAGAGUGUCCAGCACAGAAUACACCUCAAUGUGUAUUGAAUGCAUGGAUGAAUAAAUGGAUACAUGGAUGAACAUCCUAAAUUACUGUCAAAGCAGAAUUACGGUCAAGAGUAGGAGGUAGACUAGGUUUGAAUGCAGGCUCUACUACUUAAUGACAAAUGGUAAGAGAAAUAAAACAAGCCAAUGACCUUCUUCAUGCCUAUUUUCUCAUGUGUAAAUGAGAGAAUUCAUACUACUAUCUUAAACAAUUGUAUCUCAAAGGAUUGUUGUGAGGUUUAAAGGUGAGAUACAAAUGAAGUAUUAGUCUAAUCCAUGGCUGAUAAUAAGUGCUCUAAGUGUUGGCGGUGAUUACUUUCUCUGGUUAUUAUUGCGUAUGUACUCAAUUUAGUCUUAUUCUUCUAAAUUGUUCUCCCCAGUCAUUACUUUAUAUUUCCCAUCAUCUAUAGGAUUCUCUAUAAAUUAUCUCCAAAGUUCUAAAUUAAAUACUAUAAAUUAAUGAAAGUAUUAGAAUGCUAUAGAUAGCCAUAGGCCCAUUUUGAUAUAUAUUUCUCUCUGUUUUAUCUCAGUGUAAAGUGUUUUUUUGUUUGUUUGUUUGUUUGUUUCAUUUUUUGUGUUUUGUUUUCUACAACAGUGCAAAUAUUUAACUUGUGCCCUGCUAGGACUACCAAAUACUUUUACCUUUACUUGCUCAUAGACAGCUCAGCUGAGUUUGAAAGGGUUCCAUGCAUAAUAUAAGGUAAAAUUCACUCAGCAGAUAUUUACUAAACAACUAGAUGUGUUAAGAAAUUAGGCACAGUAUUAUAUGACAUGCAAGGAUAAAUGUGAUUUUCAGACUCUUUCCUUGGGGGACUUACAGUCUGGUAGGAGACAGAAGACAAGUUCCUAAAUAAGUAUGCAGGGUAGCCUAUGACAAGAGUUAGUGUGAGGUGUUUGGAGAGGGCAAAAAUCAGUUCUUGCUGCAAGACACAGGAAAUGUUUCACGGAGCAGCCGACUGUGACAGAGGCCUUGAAGACUAUGUACAAUUAAGAAAUCACAAGUACAGCAUAAGUAAUGGCACAGAGAAGGGAAAUUUCAAGCAAUGCCAAUUGGAUGAUAAAUAGCCUGCUCAUGUUACAGAAUGGGUGGUGGCAGGCACAGAUUUCACUUGAAUAUCAGAAUCACCAUGUGUCCAUGGAGACAAUCCAAUAUGGUCCCUCCUGGCCCUACUGUUAAUCACUGCUUUACAGAACUACCAUUAGUCCCUUGAAGUUAGUUUCCUUGAAGAAUGAAAAAAGAAAGGCUUUGAGUGCUGGUAGAAGUGAGGAGUGAAGGAUGUGAUUGGAUAAAUAGACUGGGAACAGAAUGUAGAUAUUCUUAACACAUUUAAAUGUGAUAAAAUUCAGAUAGCCACAAAAAAUUACAGAAGGGUUCUCAGCAAGCUACAAAAAUAAUGAAUUGCUAUAUCAGUUAAAGUUCUAAGAAUAGGUUUGGCUCAUAGAGAAUCUGGCUGAUGAUCUAAAAUAAUUAUGGAAUUUCAUGAAUUUAGGUUAAAAGGGGUUUGAGUAGCAGCUUUCAGCAACAGCCUCUGUUAACAAGGAAAAACACUAGCACAGAUGGAUUUGUGCUUGAUACGGCAUGGUACUUUCCAUGUUGAUUUGGCAGAUUAGUGCUUACUGGGUUUUCUUCAUGCUUUUAGCAACAAAAUUACAAAUAGCUGUGGACAGAUUUCAUUUGACUUUUAUUCUAUUGGUUGUUUUUUGGCAGGUACUAUGAGGACAGUGCCAGUAGUAUUUUGUCAUGCAUACAACAGCCAACUGCAUAACUUCUAUGAAAAAGCCAUUUCCUUAGUGGCAGAAUAUAAAUUCAUGACCUAGGGCACUCACGUAUUUUGUAUCAUAGGUCAACACAUUUUAUUUUCCUCACCAAAUAGUUUAAAUAUUUUGUCAAAUGUUUCUCAUUUAAGGAUGUAAUAUUUAACAUUAUUUGCUCAUUUUACUUCAACCUUUCAGCUCUGCAAAUAAAAGUAUAUAUUGAAAGAUGGUGACAUCUGUUAUUCACUGCAAAGAUGCAGCAGACCUCAGACUCCACUGCAUCUACGGGGAUGAAUCUCUCAGAAGCUCAAGCUGCACCAAGCCGCCCCAGGCUCCUCCCUCUCAGGCUCCUCAUUGGCUGGCAGAGCGGUGGGACCUUGGAAGCCUCGCUGCCUCCCUUUGAACCUUGAAAAUGAGGAGAGAGCAAAACGAAUUACAUCCUUAACCGGGAGUUCAAAGAGUUAAAUGUCUAUUUUUGGAGAGGUCGAAUCAGGGCAGCUGCUGGCGACAAAACCUGCCCUUGCUACUGAGCAUGCUCAGCGUCACUUAGAAACCCACAGAAGUUUCAGGAUAUACGUCUCUUCUCUAAGGUUUUAGUGGAUACCACAAGGGGAAGAGCAAAAAGGAAGGGAGAUUUUCAAGAGCUGUAAAACGAGAUGAGGGAGAAGGAACGAGGGAAAUGGGGGAGGAGGGACAAGAGUGUCAACAUAAAGAGUCUGAAAAGAGUAUUGAAUGAAUGUAAAAUGGAGAGAAAAGAAAGUGACAAGUGUGGAGGCCACUGGAAAAAACAAAGUAUCAAAUACUUAGAUAUGAUCUUUGGUGCCGCUGCCCCAACCCCCAUUUUGUUUUUUUCUGUGAUUCCACAUGAAGUCCUAGAACCUAUCAGACAAGUUGUAAUUGAGGAUAUUCCUUUUUGUGGGUUUUUUGUUUUGUUUUGUUUUGUUUGGGGGGGGGUGUUUGUUUGUUUUUGGUAAAUAGAAGUCUUCUGUAGUAUAAAAAAUAAUUAUUUGCUAUACUCCCAUCCGUAUGUUUACUUGUCCUUAUAGUAAAAAUCUUCCAACUCCAUAACGGCUAUUUUUAGCAAUGGAGCAUAUUUAUUUACAAUGUAACUAUUAAAUAAACGAGUGCAAGGUUUCA
Molecule: long non-coding RNA, 3640 nt
Organism: Felis catus (domestic cat)
Lineage: Eukaryota; Metazoa; Chordata; Mammalia; Carnivora; Felidae
Exons: 2
Source: RefSeq, a predicted model, not a curated record